GCUUGCUCUCGGGUGACGAGCGGCGGACGGGUGAGUAAUGUCUGGGAAACUGCCUGAUGGAGGGGGAUAACUACUGGAAACGGUAGCUAAUACCGCAUAAUGUCGCAAGACCAAAGUGGGGGACCUUCGGGCCUCAUGCCAUCAGAUGUGCCCAGAUGGGAUUAGCUAGUAGGUGGGGUAACGGCUCACCUAGGCGACGAUCCCUAGCUGGUCUGAGAGGAUGACCAGCCACACUGGAACUGAGACACGGUCCAGACUCCUACGGGAGGCAGCAGUGGGGAAUAUUGCACAAUGGGCGCAAGCCUGAUGCAGCCAUGCCGCGUGUGUGAAGAAGGCCUUCGGGUUGUAAAGCACUUUCAGCGGGGAGGAAGGCGUUAAGGUUAAUAACCUUGGCGAUUGACGUUACCCGCAGAAGAAGCACCGGCUAACUCCGUGCCAGCAGCCGCGGUAAUACGGAGGGUGCAAGCGUUAAUCGGAAUUACUGGGCGUAAAGCGCACGCAGGCGGUCUGUCAAGUCGGAUGUGAAAUCCCCGGGCCCAACCUGGGAACUGCAUUCGAAACUGGCAGGCUAGAGUCUUGUAGAGGGGGGUAGAAUUCCAGGUGUAGCGGUGAAAUGCGUAGAGAUCUGGAGGAAUACCGGUGGCGAAGGCGGCCCCCUGGACAAAGACUGACGCUCAGGUGCGAAAGCGUGGGGAGCAAACAGGAUUAGAUANCCUGGUAGUCCACGCCGUAAACGAUGUCGAUUUGGAGGUUGUGCCCUUGAGGCGUGG
Molecule: ribosomal RNA, 770 nt
Filed under: uncultured Enterobacteriaceae bacterium
Lineage: Bacteria; Pseudomonadati; Pseudomonadota; Gammaproteobacteria; Enterobacterales; Enterobacteriaceae
Description: SSU rRNA
Rfam family: Bacterial small subunit ribosomal RNA
Source: RNAcentral